This 159-nucleotide ribosomal RNA is filed under the name Paragaeumannomyces raciborskii. RNAcentral describes it as "5.8S ribosomal RNA". It matches the Rfam family "5.8S ribosomal RNA". From Rfam's summary of the family: 5.8S ribosomal RNA (5.8S rRNA) is a component of the large subunit of the eukaryotic ribosome. It is transcribed by RNA polymerase I as part of the 45S precursor that also contains 18S and 28S rRNA. Lineage: Eukaryota; Fungi; Ascomycota; Sordariomycetes; Chaetosphaeriales; Chaetosphaeriaceae. The record is from RNAcentral.
AAACUUUCAACAACGGAUCUCUUGGUUCUGGCAUCGAUGAAGAACGCGGCGAAAUGCGAUAAGUAAUGUGAAUUGCAGAAUUCAGUGAAUCAUCGAAUCUUUGAACGCACAUUGCGCCCGCCGGUAUUCCGGCGGGCAUGCCUGUUCGAGCGUCAUUUC